CAGAAAUCAGCCUGCCUCGGUGGUGGUGGGGUUGCUGAACCACACAGCGAGAACAUGGGCCCUGUGUAAAAAGCUCCCAGCCUCCCUGCGUACGGAAGACAGCACUGACCCAGAGCUGAGCAAAGGGCAGGCUACAACCCCUGCCACCUCUGAGCUGGGCCUUUCAGCCACAGCCCCAUGUCAUUCAUGGUUGAAGUCCUGCUGCCGCAGGGCCACACAAGGUUGUUGCAGCGCAAGCCCACUCUGGCCACACUGUGAGUUGGAGAGAGCUUUGAAGCCAUCAAGGAGCUGAACCCCAAAGAGAAGGAUCUGGUCUGAGAAGAAGCCAACCAAGAGGUGCCACAAAGGGAGUGGACAGUGAGAGCCUGGCCCAGCCUGGCAGACAAGGGAUAUGAAAUCGGGGAAGUACAUACACAUCAGUCUUAAAAGGCCAGAGUAGGAAGACCUUGAACUCCUGCUUCAGUUCCCUCCUCUUGAAUAUCAGGAUGGCAUUGAGACCAGCACCUGGGGGCUGCUAUAGAAGCCCUUGAGAUCAUAGCCUUCCUCUCUCGAUGCCUCUGGAGAUGUCCUUCGGUUGGUGCUUUGGCCUCAAGAGUGUGGAAAAUCUGUUCUUCCAGCUUCAUCCAGAUGGAAACUGUGUCCUGAGGUGAAUGGUUCCCCUCAAGCUGUCUUCACAACAAAACAGACCCUGAGCCCUACCAGAGGGAGGAGGAAAAAAAGACCAAAAACACUGUGAAUUAAGAAAUUUGUCAGAAGAAAAGGGGGGACCACUCGCUGAGUUUGCUCUCUCGGCCUCUCACCAAGGACCUCAGGACCUGGAGUCUUCCUCAGCCUUGGGCUAUAGGCUGCUCACUUCCCUCUCUGGGCCUCAUGUUUUCCUCAGAGACGGCAGCUCCCCAUCCCCCUCGGCAGGCCUGCAGCUUCGUGCACUUGCUUUCCCAGCACCAACACAGCACCCCCUACAUAGUGGGUGCUCAGACCCCUUUUGACCCCAUGUGAACAAGCUUGGACUAGCCUACUGGCCUAUGAGAGAUCGUACUGAACAAAGACAAGUUGUCUCAGUUGUGCCAGCCAAGGCCCGAGACAUGGGAGAGGGCCUUUCUGAGAUGAGCAAAGCCAGCCCACAGCCAACCCACCAGCUGACAGCACAUGCAUGAGUGACUCCAUCCAAGACCAGAAGAACCACCCACCUGAUCCACAGAUUUUGGACAAUAAUAAAAGAUUAUUGUUUCAAGCCACUGAACAAAUUACCAUUUGUUACAUAGUAGUAGCUGACUGAUAUACCUGGCCACAUCAGACCAGCUGUCCCUCUUGGCAAUACUUAGGUGGGGUGAGCAACCCCUUGAAUGAGGCAUGAGUUUUGCAUCGCCCCACUGUUCCUACCACUGUUCGCUAUUAUCUCUCUCACCCAGUAGCUGAGUGAUAGAGGACAGUAAUUACCAUUGUUGAGUGGUUGUUUUCCUCAUCAUUGUGUUAAGAACAAACUAAAAUAGUUCUUAUAAUCAAGACUAUCAAUAGAGAUUAAGAGAGCUACAUAUUCUAAGCAGAAUGAGAGAAAGACAAAAUAUCUUCUUACGCUAACUACCCUAACUCCGUAUAUGAACCUCUCAGUGUGAGCCCUUGAUUCAACACCUCCCAGCUUCAGUGUUGUCUGUAAAAUGAAGUUAAGGACACAUGCCUCAGAGGAUUCUUUAAGAAUUGAGUUCAGUUUAGCAGAAUAGCAUAGUGGUUUAGCAAUAUGCUCUGGAACUAGACUGCCAGGGUUUAAAUCCCAGAUUUCCCACUAACUAAAUCUUUGCAUGGUGCCAGAUGGAUGCAAACUGCUUCUGAUAGAUGAAUAAUAAAGCUACUUUAGCCUCUUUCAUCUGUAAAAAUUACUUCUAAUCUGUACCUUGUUCUAGUAAAUUCCUAUCAAAGCCAAUGGUAAAGACUAUUACUUUAGAACUACCCUGAGAACUAAUAGGGACCAAAACAAUGUCAAUUUGCUGAGAAUUAAAUAAUUUUAUAAGAAUUAUGAAAUAUUUAUGUCUGUGAUCAAAGGAUAAAUACCUUCUGAAAAUACCCCAGAGAAAUAAUGUAAAGGCAAAAACACUUAGAUAUUUACAGCAUCCACUUAGGCCAUGGAAUAUUCAGCUACAGAAUAAAUAUCACCACGAAAAAACAUAGAAAUUUGUUCAGAAAAUAAUGUUAAGUAAAAAACAUAUGUAUACAAAAUAGCAUAAAUAUGUCAAUUGCAAUUCUACAAAAAUAUAACUACACAUUGAAAAUGAUUGGAAAAGAAUAUUGUAUAAUACAAGUGUUCUAAGUUCAUAAGAUUUUAAUAAUAAUAAUUUUAAUUACUUGUUAAAAAUUAGCAAAUAUACUGUAACUAUAAAUUUUGGAAAAUGUAGAUCAUUAUACUAUAUUAUUAUAAAAAGUGUAAGUAUUAAUAAGCCGUUACUCAAAAUGGA
This is a long non-coding RNA of Canis lupus familiaris (dog), 2450 nucleotides long. RefSeq lists it as uncharacterized. The transcript has 5 exons. The record is from RefSeq and is a predicted model, not a curated record. Lineage: Eukaryota; Metazoa; Chordata; Mammalia; Carnivora; Canidae.